This 894-nucleotide long non-coding RNA is filed under the name Fukomys damarensis (Damara mole-rat). RNAcentral's name for it is "lncRNA (ENSFDAG00000033168.1)". Lineage: Eukaryota; Metazoa; Chordata; Mammalia; Rodentia; Bathyergidae. The record is from RNAcentral.
AAAACAGCAUCAAACAGGUUAAUGGCUUUACUCAAAGUCAGAUCAACAGUGGGAGCAGAGGUCGUGCAGAACCCAAAUGUCAGCCUUCAGCUUGCACCUACGGGGUCACACGAGAGACACCGGAGACGAAGCCACCUUUGGCUGUACCCAAGAGGGAAAAGAAGAAAAAUAACAACUAGAAGAGGAGCCCAUGACACAUCCUACUCUGUUUUGAAAGUGAGCCAAGUAAAUGAGGAGGAUUAGGACCAAAGGAGCACCUCAGACUCAGGGGUCAGAGUCCAAUCCCAGGUUGGUCUGUGUCUGGCUUUGAAACAACACUGGAAAGAUACUCUCUCCAACCCUGAAAUACCAGUAGUUGAAGUUCACAGCCUCCUUCCUAACCCUAGGAAACCUUUUAUCCACUAGAGCAGGGUGUGGUUAUCUCAACAAAGAGAAAUGCUGCUUUCUCAACCAGAUGCUCCUAGCAUACUUGAAGGCUGGCUCCACCAGUGAUCACCCUGGGCCCAGGGAUUCUCCCCUCCAAAAAGCCUUCUGAACACAGGUGUGACAGAAAGCACUAAAGGGAUAGAGAAGGAGGCACAGACACCCACACACUUGAGUCAGCCACACAUUCUUCCCUUCAAGUGAGGUCCUAGCCUGAGAGGGACCUUAGAUUAAAAGGCUGUGGUUCCUUUAACCCAUUUCUGCCCCAAAACCUCACUUAGAGAGAGAUUUUAAACAGUGCACAUUCAAUGGUGCUUUCUUCUUUCAGCUCCCAAGUCACACUGAGAAGCCAGUCACCCGAGUUGAUGGGAAAAGACACAGCCCACUGCUCUAGCUCUCAUCAGUCCACCACACUGAUAUCUCUCUUUUCUUAAACAUCUUCUGUCUCCAGCCUGAUACAUGUCAGCAGAU